CCCUUAGAUGUUCUGGGCUGCACGCGCGCUACACUGAAGCGUUCAACGAGUAUUCACCUUGCCCGGGAGGGUUGGGUAAUCUUUUGAAAACGCUUCGUGAUGGGGAUAGAUUAUUGCAAUUAUUAAUCUUCAACGAGGAAUUCCUAGUAAGCGCGAGUCAUCAGCUCGUGCUGAUUACGUCCCUGCCCUUUGUACACACCGCCCGUCGCUCCUACCGAUUGGGUGCUCCGGUGAAUUGUUUGGACUGCUGUCAGUCUUUUAGGCUGUUGGCGAGAAGCUCUGUGAACCUUAGCACCUAGAGGAAGGAGAAGUCGUAACA
Molecule: ribosomal RNA, 319 nt
Filed under: uncultured eukaryote
Lineage: Eukaryota
Description: partial 18S ribosomal RNA
Rfam family: Eukaryotic small subunit ribosomal RNA
Source: RNAcentral